GACGAACGCUGGCGGCGUGCUUAACACAUGCAAGUCGAGCGGCAAGGCCCUUUCGGGGGUACACGAGCGGCGAACGGGUGAGUAACACGUGGGUGACCUGCCCUCAGCUCUGGGAUAAGCCUGGGAAACUGGGUCUAAUACUGGAUAUGACUCCACGGUGCAUGUCGUGGGGUGAAAGCCUUGUGCGGCUGAGGAUGGGCCCGCGGCCUAUCAGCUUGUUGGUGGGGUGAUGGCCUACCAAGGCGACGACGGGUAGCCGGCCUGAGAGGCGACCGGCCACACUGGGACUGAGACACGGCCCAGACUCCUACGGGAGGCAGCAGUGGGGAAUCUUGCGCAAUGGGCGAAAGCCUGACGCAGCGACGCCGCGUGAGGGAUGACGGCCU
This 386-nucleotide ribosomal RNA is filed under the name uncultured bacterium. RNAcentral's name for it is "bacterial SSU rRNA". It matches the Rfam family "Bacterial small subunit ribosomal RNA", at positions 28 to 417 of the family's 1533-position model. The record is from RNAcentral.